AGCACGCACAGUUUCCUUUUGUUCUUUCUUCAUGAAAGAAAGGAACAGAAGCAAAAGAAAAACGAGAUAGAGGGGAGAAGAGGGAGGCGGCGCGGUGGGAGUCACUGCCAUCGUCGCCGCCGUCGUUAACAAAGAGGAAGGGAGAUCUGAACGAGAAGAGAGUGAGUGACGCGAGGGAGGGAGAUGAGGCUUCGUUGCCGUCACGCUCUGCCGCACGCGGGGAGCGCCGCUGUCGAAGCCAUGCCCUGCGUCCCUGCCCGGUCGCGAUUCUGCCACUGCCAACUCUGCCGUCACUGCUUCCAUAACCUCCAACAGCACUGCUGUUGUCGACGAUAGAGCUGCCGCGAAGAGGAGGAAGGGCGCUGCUUCAAGCCUCGCCGCCAUCGCUGCUCUGAAAGGGUCUGUAGUGGUCGCCGUCGAGCAUGACAGGUGGAUGCGAAGGAGAACUCGCGUCUGAGUCUGGGAGGAGGUGGGGAUCCGCCGCUGUCGCCAGUGGAGGCCACUGCUGUGCAACGGACGUGUGAGAGGGAAGCAAGAUGAAUCCUUUCUGCUUCUGGUGCUCUGGUCUGCCGCCGCCGCCGCCGGGAUCCUUGGGCGCUGCCAUUGUUCUUGUCGCCAUUAAAGAAAGCUAACUGCUGCUGCCAUUCAGAUCCGCCACAGUCUCUGUCGGGAGCCACCAUGGGAGCCGUGGAAGGAGGGGUUUCUGCCACCUUUGAAACUCCACUACUGUUGUUGUCAUGGCUGCCACGCCUUUGGCUGCCGGGAUCGGUAUUGUGGCCGCCAGAAACUGUUUUUCUUGGGUUGAGUUCCGAUAAAUGUGCAUCGAAACUAAGGUGGUUGUUGAGCCACCGGAGCUUUCUGCCGCUACGGGGCUGUUGUCAGGUCGGUUCGGAGUCGCAGUUGUUCCUUUGUGUUAUUUCGUGUUGCUAUGGUUGUUGCGAACGUGA
Molecule: long non-coding RNA, 947 nt
Organism: Arachis duranensis
Lineage: Eukaryota; Viridiplantae; Streptophyta; Magnoliopsida; Fabales; Fabaceae
Exons: 3
Source: RefSeq, a predicted model, not a curated record